UACCCCCACCUUAACUCGAGAUUUCAUAUUAUUGCCUUUUCUCACUUCUCGCGGAACCUACGAGCGACAAAAUUCCGGACGUACGCGUGUGACUCCAGGGGUUCGUGAAACUACAUCUCCCAGGAUGCUCUUUGUUGUAUGCGUCAUUGGGGCAGCUGGGUAUGGGGUGCUUAGAGAGACGUCAAAGGCUAGGCUUCUCAACCUGCUCUUGACUCAGAAGGUAGCUGCGAAGACGAGAUUAACGAGGAAUGAACACGUGACCCAUCAAACCACAAAAUAAAGGUGCAAUCGUCUUCCAAGUACAAUGCCGAUCAUAGUUUGUAUACAUUUUCUUGCCAAUAAAGUAUUAUUCACGUAAAUGAAUGAUAAUGGCUUGGCAAUAAAGAAUACUCUGGACAAA
Long non-coding RNA from Hemicordylus capensis (graceful crag lizard), 400 nucleotides. RefSeq lists it as uncharacterized. The transcript is spliced from 2 exons. The record is from RefSeq and is a predicted model, not a curated record. Lineage: Eukaryota; Metazoa; Chordata; Lepidosauria; Squamata; Cordylidae.